Long non-coding RNA from Homo sapiens (human), 3617 nucleotides. RefSeq annotates it as TIMM23B-AGAP6 readthrough (NMD candidate). The transcript is spliced from 17 exons. Lineage: Eukaryota; Metazoa; Chordata; Mammalia; Primates; Hominidae. The record is from RefSeq and is marked validated.
AACGGGAACCGGCGCCCGGAAUGUCAGCGUGUGAAGUAGGCGCUGGCAACGCGGGGUUACCCGCUGUUAUUGAGGAGUAACGGCCCAGCGGACCACCCAGGCUUGAGGCAGCGGCGGGAACCACUCGGUUUGCUGCGAUACCAUGGAAGGAGGCGGGGGAAGCGGCGACAAAACCACAGGGGUAUUGGCCGGCUUUUUCGGAGCCGGCGAAGCAGGUUACUCGCACGCGGAUUUGGCUGGCGUCCCGCAGUCAGGACCUCGUUCUGUCACCCAUGUUGGGGUGCGGUGGCAUGAUUAUAGUUCACUGAAGCCUGGCACUCCUGAGCUCAAACAAUCCUCCCCUCUAAGCCUCCUAAGUAGCUGGGAAUCUAGUAACUGGUAUGAACCCUCUGUGUCCUUAUUUAAAUGUGGAUCCACGAUACCUCGUGCAGGAUACAGAUGAGUUCAUUUUACCUACCGGAGCUAAUAAAACCUGGGGCAGAUUUGAGCUGGCCUUCUUUACGAUUGGAGGGUGUUGCAUGACAGGGGCUGCGUUUGGGGCAAUGAAUGGUCUUCGGCUAGGAUUGAAGGAAACCCAGAACAUGGCCUGGUCCAAACCAGGAAAUGUACAGAUUUUGAAUAUGGUGACUAGGCAAGGGGCACUUUGGGCUAAUACUCUAGGUUCUCUGGCGUUGCUCUAUAGUGCAUUUGGUGUCAUCAUUGAGAAAACACGAGGUGCAGAAGAUGACCUUAACACAGUAGCAGCUGGAACCAUGACAGGCAUGUUGUAUAAAUGUACAGGCUGGAGUGCAGUGGCGUGAUCUCGGCUAGCUACAACCUCCACCUCCCAGCCGCCUGCCUUGGCCUCCCAAAGUGCCGAGAUUGCAGCCUCUGCCCGGCUGCCACCCCGUCUGGGAAGUGAGGAGCGUCUCUGCCUGGCCGCCCAUCGUCUGGGAUGUGAGGAGCCCCUCUGCCCGGGCUGCCCAGUCUGGGAAGUGAGGAGCGCCUUUUCCCGGCUGCCAUCCCGUCUAGGAAGUGAGGAGCGUCUCGGCCCGGCCACCCAUCGUCUGAGAUGAGGGGAGCGCCUCUGCCCCGCCGCCCCGUCUGGGAUGUGAGGAGCGCCUCUGCCUGGCCGCGACCCCGUCUGGGAGUGUCAGAGAUGGCUUUGGAUUCCCCGUUCUGUGUGCUGCUGUCUGGCUCCUGAACCCAGCUGUAGAGGUGUGUGUCAAUCCCAACUGGUGAAGUACUGAGAAGAAGCUACACAAAAGGCAGCAAAGUAUUACGUCAGCCUCGAGUUUGACCAGCAGCAGGGGUCGGUGUGUCCCUCUGAAUCUGAGACCUAUGAGGCAGGAGCUAGGGACAGGAUGGCAGGAGCGCCCAUGGCUGCUGCUGUACAGCCUGCUGAGGUGACUGUUGAAGUUGGUGAGGACCUCCACAUGCACCACGUUCGUGACCGGGAGAUGCCUGAAGCUUUGGAGUUUAACCUUUCUGCCAAUCCAGAGUCAAGCACAAUAUUCCAGAGGAACUCUCAAACAGAAGCUUUGGAGUUUAACCCUUCUGCCAAUCCAGAGGCAAGCACAAUAUUCCAGAGGAACUCUCAAACAGAUGUUGUAGAAAUAAGAAGAAGCAACUGUACAAACCAUGUAUCUGCUGUGCGUUUCAGUCAACAAUACAGCUUGUGUUCGACAAUAUUCCUUGAUGACAGCACAGCCAUCCAGCAUUAUCUUACAAUGACAAUAAUAUCUGUGACCUUGGAGAUACCUCAUCAUAUCACACAAAGAGAUGCAGAUAGAACUUUGAGCAUACCUGAUGAACAGUUACACUCAUUUGCGGUUUCCACCGUGCACAUUAUGAAGAAAAGAAAUGGAGGUGGGAGUUUAAAUAACUAUUCCUCCUCCAUUCCAUCGACUCCCAGCACCAGCCAGGAGGACCCUCAGUUCAGUGUUCCUCCCACUGCCAACACACCCACGCCCGUUUGCAAGCGGUCCAUGCGCUGGUCCAACCUGUUUACAUCUGAGAAAGGGAGUGACCCAGACAAAGAGAGGAAAGCCCCGGAGAAUCAUGCUGACACCAUCGGGAGCGGUAGAGCCAUCCCCAUUAAACAGGGCAUGCUCUUAAAGCGAAGUGGGAAAUGGCUGAAGACAUGGAAAAAGAAAUACGUCACCCUGUGUUCCAAUGGCAUGCUCACCUAUUAUUCAAGCUUAGGUGAUUAUAUGAAGAAUAUUCAUAAAAAAGAGAUUGACCUUCAGACAUCUACCAUCAAAGUCCCAGGAAAGUGGCCAUCCCUAGCCACAUCGGCCUGCACACCCAUCUCCAGCUCUAAAAGCAAUGGCCUAUCCAAGGACAUGGACACCGGGCUGGGUGACUCCAUAUGCUUCAGCCCCAGUAUCUCCAGCACCACCAGCCCCAAGCUCAACCCGCCCCCCUCUCCUCAUGCUAAUAAAAAGAAACACCUAAAGAAGAAAAGCACCAACAACUUUAUGAUUGUGUCUGCCACUGGCCAAACGUGGCACUUUGAAGCCACGACGUAUGAGGAGCGGGAUGCCUGGGUCCAAGCCAUCCAGAGCCAGAUCCUGGCCAGCCUGCAGUCAUGCGAGAGCAGUAAAAGCAAGUCCCAGCUGACCAGCCAGAGCGAGGCCAUGGCCCUGCAGUCGAUCCAAAACAUGCGUGGGAACGCCCACUGUGUGGACUGUGAGACCCAGAAUCCUAAGUGGGCCAGUUUGAACUUGGGAGUCCUCAUGUGUAUUGAAUGCUCAGGUAUCCACCGCAGUCUUGGCCCCCACCUUUCCCGUGUGCGAUCUCUGGAGCUGGAUGACUGGCCAGUUGAGCUCAGGAAGGUUAUGUCAUCUAUUGUCAAUGACCUAGCCAACAGCAUCUGGGAAGGGAGCAGCCAGGGGCAGACAAAACCCUCAGAAAAGUCCACGAGGGAAGAGAAGGAACGGUGGAUCCGUUCCAAAUAUGAGGAGAAGCUCUUUCUGGCCCCACUACCCUGCACUGAGCUGUCCCUGGGCCAGCAGCUGCUGCGGGCCACCGCUGAUGAGGACCUGCAGACAGCCAUCCUGCUGCUGGCACAUGGCUCCUGUGAGGAGGUGAACGAGACCUGUGGGGAGGGAGACGGCUGCACGGCGCUCCAUCUGGCCUGCCGCAAGGGGAAUGUGGUCCUGGCGCAGCUCCUGAUCUGGUACGGGGUGGACGUCAUGGCCCGAGAUGCCCACGGGAACACAGCGCUGACCUACGCCCGGCAGGCCUCCAGCCAGGAGUGCAUCAACGUGCUUCUGCAGUACGGCUGCCCCGACGAGUGUGUGUAGUAUCUGUUUUAUUUGACUGCAGUCUCCUUGGUGCAAAAACAAAAUGGGAAAAAUAAGGAUAACUCAGAAUUUCAAAAGGAAAUCACAAAUUCAGCUAAUAUUAGCAUUUUCAGUACUUUUCGUAAACUAAGUAAAUACACAAAAUGUUGAUUUUUCUGACCAUAAGACGUAUUUUAUGUCCUUCUGCCAAGGUGGAUUUGUUAGUCUCAGGCCCUCCUGGCCACAUUGCCCAAGUCACACAGGCUUCUGUAUUAUGUAUUUAGAUAAAAUGUGUGAAAACAUAUUUGAAAUAAAGUUCAUAAAUAUGCAUUGAUUUUUGUACACAUGGCA